RNAcentral lists this ribosomal RNA (438 nucleotides) under uncultured bacterium. RNAcentral describes it as "partial 16S ribosomal RNA". It matches the Rfam family "Bacterial small subunit ribosomal RNA", at positions 342 to 795 of the family's 1533-position model. The record is from RNAcentral.
CGGGCUGCUCCAGCAGUGAGGAAUAUUGCACAAUGGGGGAAACCCUGAUGCAGCAACGCCGCGUGGAGGAUGACGCAUUUCGGUGUGUAAACUCCUUUUAUGAGUCAAGAAAAUGACGGUAGCUCAUGAAUAAGCACCGGCUAACUCCGUGCCAGCAGCCGCGGUAUAUGGAGGGUGCAAGCGUUACUCGGAAUCACUGGGCGUAAAGGACGCGUAGGCGGGAUGUCAAGUCAGGUGUGAAAUCCUAUGGCUCAACCAUAGAACUGCACUUGAAACUGGCAACCUAGAGUAUGGGAGGGGGAGAUGGAAUUAGUGGUGUAGGGGUAAAAUCCGUAGAUAUCACUAGGAAUACCGAAAGCGAAGGCGAUCUCCUGGAACAUUACUGACGCUAAGGCGUGAAAGCGUGGGGAGCAAACAGGAUUAGAUACCCUCGUAGUC